Molecule: long non-coding RNA, 891 nt
Organism: Biomphalaria glabrata
Lineage: Eukaryota; Metazoa; Mollusca; Gastropoda; Planorbidae
Exons: 5
Source: RefSeq, a predicted model, not a curated record
CCCCCCCCCCCCCUCCCUCCCUUCAUAUGGAAAGCAGCACAUACAACUCAAUUUACUUCUAUUGGCUGGAAAUAUUUAAAGCAUGACAGUGGCGUAGGUAAAUUACCAAAUAGUGGAUCUUAUGUUGGAUUGAUCAGCCCUGAUGAACUGACCUGACCAUUGUAAUUGAAACCAUAACUCAUGACCACUCUAUCUGUAUAGGUCCUGGUAUACCCUGGGAUAAUGUUCACCCACAACUUUUAACUUGAAAUCUUAAAGGAAGUUUUGCUAAACUAACAAGCAUGAAUGUCUGGUACAGUAAGAUAGGGUUAAUGGUCAACCUGACAUCAUGGUUCAUUCAUUGGGACAGCUAAUGUUUGUGUCUGAUCAAGCAGUUCUCAAGUUAGGGCUUGAUGAAGUCUACAAACUGACCAUUAUAUCUACUGGACAAAAAAGGAUCUUAUAUGUAUAUUUUAAACCUGGUCAAUGCCUAUUUCUCCACUAUUGUCGACAUCUUGAGACAUCACCAUCGGCAGAAACCGAAGACGGCUGAUACAUUUGUGUGGGUGAAAAACUGAAGGCGUCGCUCGAAGACAGCUGAUACAUUUGUGUGGGUGAAAAACUCAAGGCUUCGCUCGAAGACAGCUGAUACAUUUGUGUGGGUGUAAAAUUCAAGGCGUCGCCUGAAGACAGAUGAUACAUCGUUUCCACUUGAGCGCUCGUCACCAACUUUUGACACGCUCUUGCACUGUCGAGGUUUCACCUUACAUUGCUAUACAGAAGGUCCUCCAUUUAGACCUCUGUUCACUUAUGGUCAUUCUAAUUUUUCAGAGACUUUACAUAUUUGGAUUAUCUAAGCUGAAGUUCUCCACUUAAGUACUGUUGGAUUAUUUAUACGAAUGUUCAAGUACU